Molecule: unclassified non-coding RNA, 302 nt
Filed under: Hevea brasiliensis (rubber tree)
Lineage: Eukaryota; Viridiplantae; Streptophyta; Magnoliopsida; Malpighiales; Euphorbiaceae
Source: RNAcentral
GAAGCCGUGUGUGCUGGAGUGCCGAUGGUGGCGUGGCCGCUGUACGCAGAGCAAAAGUUCAAUAGGUUGAUGUUGGUUGAAGAAAUAAAAAUUGCUUUGCCAAUGAAGGAAGACGAGAACGGGUUUGUAACUGCGUUGGAGGUGGAGAAGCGAGUUAAUCAGUUGAUGCAGUCGGAAUCCGGUAACUCAGUUAGGGAGCGAACCAUUGCUAUGAAAAAAGCAGCCAAGGCAGCAGUGAGUGAGGGUGGUUCCUCGCGUUUUGCAAUGUCUAGACUCGUUGAGUCAUGGAAGCGUUAAUGAGU